This 1312-nucleotide ribosomal RNA is filed under the name Bacillus sp. 25-1. RNAcentral describes it as "bacterial SSU rRNA". It matches the Rfam family "Bacterial small subunit ribosomal RNA", at positions 70 to 1368 of the family's 1533-position model. The record is from RNAcentral. Lineage: Bacteria; Bacillati; Bacillota; Bacilli; Caryophanales; Bacillaceae.
AGAAGGGAGCUUGCUCCCGGAUGUUAGCGGCGGACGGGUGAGUAACACGUGGGUAACCUGCCUGUAAGACUGGGAUAACUCCGGGAAACCGGAGCUAAUACCGGAUAGUUCCUUGAACCGCAUGGUUCAAGGAUGAAAGACGGUUUCGGCUGUCACUUACAGAUGGACCCGCGGCGCAUUAGCUAGUUGGUGGGGUAAUGGCUCACCAAGGCGACGAUGCGUAGCCGACCUGAGAGGGUGAUCGGCCACACUGGGACUGAGACACGGCCCAGACUCCUACGGGAGGCAGCAGUAGGGAAUCUUCCGCAAUGGACGAAAGUCUGACGGAGCAACGCCGCGUGAGUGAUGAAGGUUUUCGGAUCGUAAAGCUCUGUUGUUAGGGAAGAACAAGUGCGAGAGUAACUGCUCGCACCUUGACGGUACCUAACCAGAAAGCCACGGCUAACUACGUGCCAGCAGCCGCGGUAAUACGUAGGUGGCAAGCGUUGUCCGGAAUUAUUGGGCGUAAAGGGCUCGCAGGCGGUUUCUUAAGUCUGAUGUGAAAGCCCCCGGCUCAACCGGGGAGGGUCAUUGGAAACUGGGAAACUUGAGUGCAGAAGAGGAGAGUGGAAUUCCACGUGUAGCGGUGAAAUGCGUAGAGAUGUGGAGGAACACCAGUGGCGAAGGCGACUCUCUGGUCUGUAACUGACGCUGAGGAGCGAAAGCGUGGGGAGCGAACAGGAUUAGAUACCCUGGUAGUCCACGCCGUAAACGAUGAGUGCUAAGUGUUAGGGGGUUUCCGCCCCUUAGUGCUGCAGCUAACGCAUUAAGCACUCCGCCUGGGGAGUACGGUCGCAAGACUGAAACUCAAAGGAAUUGACGGGGGCCCGCACAAGCGGUGGAGCAUGUGGUUUAAUUCGAAGCAACGCGAAGAACCUUACCAGGUCUUGACAUCCUCUGACAACCCUAGAGAUAGGGCUUUCCCUUCGGGGACAGAGUGACAGGUGGUGCAUGGUUGUCGUCAGCUCGUGUCGUGAGAUGUUGGGUUAAGUCCCGCAACGAGCGCAACCCUUGAUCUUAGUUGCCAGCAUUCAGUUGGGCACUCUAAGGUGACUGCCGGUGACAAACCGGAGGAAGGUGGGGAUGACGUCAAAUCAUCAUGCCCCUUAUGACCUGGGCUACACACGUGCUACAAUGGACAGAACAAAGGGCUGCAAGACCGCAAGGUUUAGCCAAUCCCAUAAAUCUGUUCUCAGUUCGGAUCGCAGUCUGCAACUCGACUGCGUGAAGCUGGAAUCGCUAGUAAUCGCGGAUCAGCAUGCCGCGGUGAAUA